Molecule: ribosomal RNA, 485 nt
Filed under: uncultured bacterium
Lineage: Bacteria
Description: bacterial SSU rRNA
Rfam family: Bacterial small subunit ribosomal RNA
Source: RNAcentral
AUUGAACGCUGGCGGAAUGCUUUACACAUGCAAGUCGAACGGUAGAGGGGGCAACCCCUUGAGAGUGGCGAACGGGUGAGUAAUAUAUCGGAACGUGCCCAGUCGUGGGGAUAACGUAGCGAAAGUUACGCUAAUACCGCAUACGAUCUAUGGAUGAAAGCGGGGGAUCGCAAGACCUCGCGCGAUUGGAGCGGCCGAUAUCAGAUUAGGUAGUUGGUGAGGUAAAGGCUCACCAAGCCGACGAUCUGUAGCUGGUCUGACGAGGACGACCAGCCACACUGGGACUGAGACACGGCCCAGACUCCUACGGGAGGCAGCAGUGGGGAAUUUUGGACAAUGGGCGCAAGCCUGAUCCAGCCAUGCCGCGUGCAGGAUGACGGUCCUAUGGAUUGUAAACUGCUUUUGUACAGGAAGAAACCCUUUCACGUGUGGAAGAUUGACGGUACUGUAAGAAUAAGGAUCGGCUAACUCCGUGCCAGCAGCCG